RNAcentral lists this ribosomal RNA (447 nucleotides) under uncultured Planctomyces sp. RNAcentral's name for it is "bacterial SSU rRNA". It matches the Rfam family "Bacterial small subunit ribosomal RNA", at positions 338 to 795 of the family's 1533-position model. The record is from RNAcentral. Lineage: Bacteria; Pseudomonadati; Planctomycetota; Planctomycetia; Planctomycetales; Planctomycetaceae.
CCUACGGGGGGCUGCAGUCGAGGAUCUUCGUCAAUGGGCGAAAGCCUGAACGAGCGACGCCGCGUGCGGGAUGAAGGCCCUUGGGUUGUAAACCGCUGUCAGGGGGGAUGAAACCGUAAGGUUGACAGAGCCCCAGAGGAAGCACGGGCUAAGUUCGUGCCAGCAGCCGCGGUAAUACGAACUGUGCGAACGUUACUCGGAAUCACUGGGCUUACAGGGUGCGUAGGUGGCUUGAUAAGCAGGGUGUGAAAUCCCUCGGCUCAACCGAGGAACUGCGCUCUGAACUGUCGGGCUAGAGUAUGCUAGAGGUGAAUGGAACAUCCAGUGGAGCGGUGAAAUGCGUUGAUAUUGGAUGGAACACCAGAGGCGAAGGCGAUUCACUGGGGCAUAACUGACACUGAGGCACGAAAGCCAGGGGAGCAAACGGGAUUAGAUACCCUAGUAGUC